This 520-nucleotide ribosomal RNA is filed under the name uncultured Glomus. Its description in RNAcentral is "SSU rRNA". It matches the Rfam family "Eukaryotic small subunit ribosomal RNA", at positions 569 to 1091 of the family's 1831-position model. The record is from RNAcentral. Lineage: Eukaryota; Fungi; Glomeromycota; Glomeromycetes; Glomerales; Glomeraceae.
AGCAGCCGCGGUAAUUCCAGCUCCAAUAGCGUAUAUUAAAGUUGUUGCAGUUAAAAAGCUCGUAGUUGAAUUUCGGGGUCAGUAGGUUGGUCGUGCCACUGGUAUGUACUGGCCUCACUGAUUCCUCCUUCUUGUAGAACCGUAAUGCCAUUAAUUUGGUGUUGCGGGGAAAUAGGACUGUUACUUUGAAAAAAUUAGAGUGUUUAAAGCAGGCUAACGCUUGAAUACAUUAGCAUGGAAUAAUGAAAUAGGACGUUCGAUCCUAUUUUGUUGGUUUCUAGGAUUGACGUAAUGAUUAAUAGGGAUAGUUGGGGGCAUUAGUAUUCAAUUGUCAGAGGUGAAAUUCUUGGAUUUAUUGAAGACUAACUACUGCGAAAGCAUUUGCCAAGGAUGUUUUCACUAAUCAAGAACGAAAGUUAGGGGAUCGAAGACGAUCAGAUACCGUCGUAGUCUUAACCAUAAACUAUGCCGACUAGGGAUCGGAUGAUGUUAAUUUUUAAUGACUCAUUCGGCGCCUUAC